UACAGAGGGUGCAAGCGUUAAUCGGAAUUACUGGGCGUAAAGCGUGCGUAGACGGUUAUCUAAGUCGGGUGUGAAAGCCCCGGGCUCAACCUGGGAAUUGCAUUCGAUACUGGAUAGCUAGAGUUCGGCAGAGGGAAGUGGAAUUUCCGGUGUAGCGGUGAAAUGCGUAGAUAUCUGGAGGAACACCGGUGGCGAAGGCGGCAUUCUGGACCGAUAUUGACGCUGAGGAGCGAAAGCCAGGGGAGCAAACGGG
Molecule: ribosomal RNA, 253 nt
Filed under: uncultured bacterium
Lineage: Bacteria
Description: partial 16S ribosomal RNA
Rfam family: Bacterial small subunit ribosomal RNA
Source: RNAcentral